This is a long non-coding RNA of Panicum virgatum (switchgrass), 1144 nucleotides long. RefSeq lists it as uncharacterized. NCBI's taxonomy places the organism in Eukaryota, Viridiplantae, Streptophyta, Magnoliopsida, Poales, Poaceae. The record is from RefSeq and is a predicted model, not a curated record. The transcript is spliced from 5 exons.
GCACGGCCGCCGCCAGGGCCGCGGCUGGCAUUGGGUGAGGCCGCUGCGGUCAGCAUGGCCGUUGCGGGAUGCCGUCGGGCCGUGCUCCGGGAUGCCGCUCCCUUCUCGCUGGCCGGAGGCCUCUCCUACCUGACCCGCUACCUCUGCGCUAUUCCCUCCUUGCCUGAACCCGCUUCCAUCGGCAAAGGGAUUCCAGCAGUACAAGAUUUAGUCAUUCUCCCACUUCAAUUCAAGUUAAGGGUUUUGAAGGCUCAAUGCGUGCCUCAUUCGAAUUUCUUUUUUUCAAGAGCACAGAAGGGCUCUUGAGCCAAGUGAACUUUUAGGAGUCAAUAUUUCUCCAGCGCAGAUUCUGAUUUUGGCAGAUGAAUCUGUAGAAGAUUCAGCAAUCCAAGCUGACUUGGGGUUGCUUGCUACGUUACUGCUGAUCAGAGAUAUUCAGGUGAAACGGCUUCCAUACAGGGAAGCGAUGGUUUCACAUGUUCCUCGAGGGACCUUUUCUGAAGGUUCUUGGAUAGGGGACAUGCAACAAGCAUAUGACAAAUCUGUCAUAAUCAGCGAGAUUUUGGACCCAAGGACAAAAAAUUUGUUGCCAAUGUCAAGAAUUAUUGACUAUGUCCUUUCAAAUUCGUGGGUAUGGCAUUGGCAGUGGUUGCAGAAGAUAGGCAGAUAAUUGAUGUCUUGGAGGAGCUAUUUGCCGAACAGUUGCAUGAAACCGAGGGUGCGGAGACUGGAUGCAGCUAGCUUAGAUUGAGAUAAAAGGAAGUAUUGUGAUCAGGUAUUAAGCAGUGGCAAUUGCAACUAUAAUGAAACCAGCAUUCAGUCUGUCCAUAAGAUAGAAAGGGCACGCAUAGAGAGAGUAUUCCACUUCAUAUUUUCUUUGUGAUACUUAGCACUGACAGCAAGUACUGCUCUUUAAUGUUUAGCACUGUUAUCUACAUAGAACUUUAUCAGUAUGGUUUAUGCCGAUUUCAGCAAUUACUAAGUGAGAUCAAGUAGGUUCGUUUACAACUCUGCCUAUGAGGCCUCUAUAUGUGUGAGCAGACCAGUUUCUGGUACAGAGCUAGAAGGCAUGAGGGAUAGCGAUGCUCAUCUACUAUAUAUGUUGUACAAAUGAUGCAAUAUUAUUAUAUGAAAAUAUUUUUUU